Molecule: RNA transcript, 3617 nt
Organism: Vitis vinifera (wine grape)
Lineage: Eukaryota; Viridiplantae; Streptophyta; Magnoliopsida; Vitales; Vitaceae
Gene name: F-box/kelch-repeat protein SKIP30
Exons: 4
Source: RefSeq, a predicted model, not a curated record
UUUUUUUGGCAAACCCUGUUUGAUUCCCAAGAAAAUCCAUCCCCCAUUCGAUUUCCGGGAAAAUUCAUCCUCGUUUGAUUUCCGAGAAAAUUCGUCCUCGUUUGAUUUCCGAGAAAAUCCAUGCAAAACCCUUAAGGAAAACCAAAAAAAAUUGCUUUUUUUUUUUUUCUCCCUGUGUUUUCUGAUCUGUUCUAGGGUCGCUUUGCUUUUGUGCCAUUGGAUUUAAAAUUCACGAACCCUAAAUCCACGAUUUUUGAGCCAGGCUGAAAAACAACUUUGCCUGCGAGUCAUGAUCAGAUUACCAAGGAACAUCUUAUGUUUUUAAAAAAAAAAAUAAAAAUUGGACAGAUUUUGUAUCCUGUGCGCGGGCUGGACUGGUAGGAAAUAUCGGGAAAUUUCCCGAAAAAUCGGCGAUACAAACCGAAAUUUCACCGAUUUUUUGCUUACAGCCAUGUUUCGGUGAUUUUUUCGCCGAUUUUAACAGAAAUUUGGCGAAAUUUCUCCCGUCGAAAUUUCGCCCCCCUCUUUCGUAUCGCCGGCCACCGAAACCCGAAAUUUCGGCGAAAAAAAUGGAAACUUUCAUCCUUGCCCAAAAGUACCUAACGUAUCCAUCCUUGUGUAUAGCUUUUGGAUACAAACCUCAUCUCUUCACUUUUCCUUUCCAACCCAACCACUGAUCAUAGGUAAAUAUGAUAGUUUGAGGGGUUUGUGAAGAGAAGAAAGGAGCUAGGUGGUUUAGAAUUACUUGCAGGCUCAAAAUCAAAGAGAGUGACUAGACAUUUUUCACCCCCAAUGUGAUGUAAUUUUUUAUGAAAUCAAUUUUUUUAACACACGAUUAGCCCAUGCGUCCACAUGACUAUAGAUCACGUGACAGGCAGGGAGCACGUGCCAAGUGUAGAAUGACCAAAAUGCCAUUGGACAGGGGAAUAGCCGAAUCCCCACUCCGUAGUUCUUGUAGGGUAACCCCAGGCCAAGGCAGACCCAUUUCUAACGCUCAUAAAAAUAAAAAAUAAAAAAUUAAAUCAAAAUAGAAAAGAGAAGAAAAGUAUAGAUUACCAUAAAACCAUCAAAUUCUCUUAUAGAGACUCUAGGACGUUGCCGUAGCUCUCAAAAGCCUCACCUCAUUUCUUCACAUCCAAUCCAACGCUACUCUCUCUUUUUCUCUCUCCCAUUCUCUGGAAUCUGAGCAGCGCUAACACAAAUCUUGUUCUCCUCGGUACUGGGUUCUAGAGGAAAGAAAAGAUGGCAAAGGGGCUGAUAUGGGCCACAGCAGAGGACUUAGCUAGGAACCGAGGAAAAGUGUUAUCACUGUACAGGCAGAUACUGAGGAGCAUAAACUCACCCAAGUUGGAGCUGAGCUUGGCUGCACGAUUGGCAAAGAAAGCAGAGGUUAGAUCAAUAUUCAUGCUGGCUGCUGAGGAGAGGUCUCUGCACAACAUUGCUGAUCUAAUUGACACUGCUCACUACUCUCUCUCCCUCUUGAGGAAUGGCCAAAUCCCCAAAUACAUCCAAUGAGUCAAGAGUAAUGUUGUUGUUGCAUUUGCAAUAAAUUCUUACUCAAUGUGAUUGAAUUUGGUUGAGAAAAUCUUUGGGAAUAGGUUGGGGAGUAUCAAGCGUUUUGCAUGAAUGAGUGAUCAAUUUGAUUUGUUCUUCUUUCUUUGACUUAGCUUUCUAUUCUUUCAUGGAAAUGCAUUAUUUGUAGAAAUAUUUUCCAUGUUUAGCAUAUUACAUUCAAGCCAUGUUUGGUAUAUGAGAAUAUGAAAUGGGAAUUAAUAUUUUGUUUCCAUUCCUAUUUCUUAUUGAAUGGGAAUGAAUUUCGUGGUUCCAUUUUUUGUGUUUGGAUGAGCCUAGGAAUGUAAGGUUAGAAGAAUCAAUUGUUUACAUUUUGAGGGUGUUUGGUAUGCGGAAAUAAGGAGUCGGAAUGGACAUCCCAUUCCUUUUCUCCCUUAUUCCCAUGUUUUGAUAACUUAUAUGAAGGUAGGAAUGGAAUAGAAAAUGAUUCUAGUAGAAAUGAAAUCCCACUUAUAAGUGGGAUUUCAAUUCAUUACUCAUAGGUGAUAUUCUGAUUCAUUCAUCCCAUGACAUAAUGUAAAAUAGCCUAAAAUUAACUGCUAAAUAGUAGAUUUGAAGUGGUUUUUGGAGCUCAACUAUUGAACUAACUGCUAAAUAGGAACUAAAUACUCUUUUCCUCUUUGUUUUGACUCAAAAAGGGACUGGUGUUCUACUCUAUACUUGUAAUUUGACAAGCAGAUGACUGGAUAUGAAAAACUUAAGAUAUCAUAGACUAGUAACCUAACCAUACCCAGGAGAUUCCAUUCAUCCUUCAUAUUCUUGUCAGACACACUUGAAUGUUGACAGUAACCGAAAAAGAUGGUUGAAUUUUGUUAUAAUUUUGGAGGUAGGAAUGCUGUUAGAGGUUGCCCAUCUCAAUACGAAUAAUAUUGUUAUCAUUAUAUCACUAGUUCAGCAAAUCUUAAACUAAAACCUCGAGGCUGUUUAAAUAAUUGCAAUUAGUUAUCAGCAACAUGUUACUUUAAAAAGUUGGCUACCCAAAUACAUCUAUUUGCGUUUGUCUCUUCCAUGGAAACCUCUAUAAAUCUGUUGGUAAAAAAGAGGAGGAAGGCUUGGAAGGUUGCUCCGUUGUGUCUGUUUUGGGCUUUAUGGCGGGAGAGGGAUAGGAGGGCUUUUGACAACUUUGAAAGCACGCAUCAAACAAUUAAAAAUUCUUUAUUGUAUCUAUUUUGGGAUUGGGUUAGAUUGUACAUUGAUGGCGGUUCUUUAUUAUUGUUAGACUUUGUGGAUUGGGUAGGCUCUUGGUACGCAUGGUAACGGGUUUUUGUGUCUUCAUGCCUUUUUUAUCUUUUGUUUUCUUCAUAUACGACAUGUAUAUUUUCUUUCUUUUAAUACAGUUCUUAUUUAUCUAUCAAAAAAAAAAAAAAAAUGGGAACCUCUAUAAAUCCAGUUCCCUUCUUCCCCUUCUGAUCCAAACCCUCCAACACAAUCAACAUACUAUUCUUGCUCUCUGCUUUGAACUCUUAUCACAACAGUUCCAUAUCUGUCUCCAUAGCCUCAAAUGGCUUUGAGAAUACUUGAGAUAGGCUUAGUCCUGGCCCUUGUGGCCAUGCUAUGAGGUGGAGUUGCAGCUCAGUCUAGUUGCAACAGGGUGAUCAUGGGCAUGGCCCCAUGCCUAAACUACAUUUCAGGAAAUCCAUCAACCCCAUCAUCUUCAUGCUGCUCACAGCUUGCCAGCAUCAUUCAAUCACAGCCUCAGUGCCUUUGCUUGGUGCUCAAUGGCAGUGGUGCGUUGUUAGGUAUCACUGUAAACCAAACUCUUGAUGUAGCUCUCCCUGGUGCCUGUAGUGUGCAAACUCCACCAGUUAGCCAGUGUAAUGCUGCCAGUGGACCUACAACUUCAGCAACUUCCCCAGGGAGCUCACCAGCAGAUUCUUCAGAUGAAACUCCUGAAGUUCCAACCACACCAUCAGAGUCGGGCAUCCCUUAAGCUGCUAAUGGGCCAACAGCUUCGGCUAUUUCCCCUGAGAGUUCUCCAGCAGAUUCUUCAGAUGAAACUCCUGAUGUAACUCCAACCACACAGUCACUGCCAAGCAUUCCUUCAG